RNAcentral lists this ribosomal RNA (504 nucleotides) under uncultured bacterium. Its description in RNAcentral is "partial 16S ribosomal RNA". It matches the Rfam family "Bacterial small subunit ribosomal RNA", at positions 29 to 523 of the family's 1533-position model. The record is from RNAcentral.
AUUGAACGCUGGCGGCAUGCCUUACACAUGCAAGUCGAACGGCAGCAUGGAGAGCUUGCUCUCUGAUGGCGAGUGGCGAACGGGUGAGUAAUGCAUCGGAACGCACCGUGUAAUGGGGGAUAACGUAGCGAAAGUUACGCUAAUACCGCAUACGACCUGAGGGUGAAAGCAGGGGAGCGCAAGACCUUGCGUUAUACGAGCGGCCGAUGGCAGAUUAGCUAGUUGGGGAGGUAAAGGCUCACCAAGGCGACGAUCUGUAGCGGGUCUGGGAGGAUGAUCCGCCACACUGGGACUGAGAGACGGCCCAGACUCCUACGGGAGGCAGCAGUGGGGAAUUUUGGACAAGGGGGGCAACCCUGAUCCAGCCAUGCCGCGUGAGUGAAGAAGGCCUUCGGGUUGCAAAGCUCUUUCGGCCGGGAAGAAAUCGCACAGGCUAAUACUCUGUGUGGAUGACGGUACCGGCAUAAGAAGCACCGGCUAACUACGUGCCAGCCGCCGCCGUAA